CCAGAUUCCAGGCCUCCUAAAUGACCUGCAUAGUACAAGGAAAGUAAUUAAAAGUAAAGGUUCCGGAGACCUCAAAGCUUGGAGGAGAGUGCUGAUGUCAAGUGAAGAGAGGCAUGUCCAGAGGGCUGAAGAGAAGUCUGCGUUUGAGAAUGAAGGCCAUAUUGUGGAUCUGACAUUCAGAGGCGGGAGGACCAAGAAUAUCCCCCCAAUAGAACCAAUACCACACGCACAAGCUAUUUAAUGACAGAUGUUAAAAAGGGCAAAGAAAGGUACAAAGAACUUUCCCUAUGUUAAGAUGACUCAUAAGACCCGUGGGAAAUGAUACAUCACUCUCAAACCAAAGGAGAGAGAAGAGAAAGAGAUGAAGAAAGGGAGCAGAGAUUAGAGAACUUGCCCAAACUCACACAGUGAGUGGCCCUUGGAGUCUAAGAAUAAACCCAGUCACUGGCACUCCAGAGGCCAUGGUUAGAAACAUUACUCCUACAAAAGGAUGGACUGCAUGGCCAGAUGAGAUACUGAUUUUCUCUCUAAAAGAGUUGAGAGUCUUUGAAGAUAAAGAGGCUACCUGUCUGUAUUCCUAAGAUCUAAAAUAAUGUCUACUAUAUAAUUUCAACAAGUCUAUGAUGACGUGUAUCCAUCAUUAUAUUGUCAUUCAGAGCAGUUUUAUUUCCCUGAGCUCCAACUAUUUACUUCUCCCUUAUGUUCCUAUCAUUUGCAAAGAAUAAAAGAAGGAUGAGUGGAUUAUCCUAAGUGAAAACUCCUCAAAUCAAGUGUAAAUGUAAAUGUCUUCUCAUAAUUCAAUGUUCUUACAAUUCUUCUCAAGCAAUAUCUUAUUUAUUCUCCAUAAAAAUAC
This 853-nucleotide long non-coding RNA is filed under the name Equus caballus (horse). RNAcentral's name for it is "lncRNA (ENSECAG00000042124.2)". Lineage: Eukaryota; Metazoa; Chordata; Mammalia; Perissodactyla; Equidae. The record is from RNAcentral.